AUGGCAACCCACUCCAGUGUUCUUGCCUGGAGAAUCCCAGGGACGGGGGAGCCUGGUGGGCUGCUGUCUAUGGGAUCGCAGAGUUGGACACGACUGAAGCGACUUAGCAGCAGCAGCAGCAGCGGCUCUAUAGUCUACAAAAGAUCUGGUGGUGGCAGUGCCUGGAAUGGUGGCGGAAAGUAUAUUCCAGACCAAGAGAUGAAGAGGUCAUCUUUCAACCCUGAGAUCCUAAAGAUGAUGGAGUCAAAGAAAACAGAAGGCUGGAUCUUGACACCCUUGAGAAGUUGUAUUAACUCCUAGGUACUGGUAACACAAGCAGAAAAUGAAAUUUAAAAUAAAAUCACUUAUGACAAAACCCA
This is a long non-coding RNA of Bos indicus x Bos taurus (hybrid cattle), 359 nucleotides long. The record is from Ensembl. NCBI's taxonomy places the organism in Eukaryota, Metazoa, Chordata, Mammalia, Artiodactyla, Bovidae.